UUUAUAUUUUUUAUACAAAACAUUUAUAUUUUUUAUAUAAUACUGAAUACUAGCCAGUAGUCGUUCGCUAGGAACAUUAUUUUGAGACAACUCUACAAAACAGAAAAAUUAAAAAAGUGAUUGCACAGCUAUUGUAAUUUAAAGGGUUUAAAUUUUUUUUUGUAAUGAACAAACUACGCAAAAAAUCAACGCUUCUAAAUAAUCGUUCGGAUUUUGUUAAUUUUUCUUCGUUGUCUAUCAAAUCAACAUUUUCCUAUUAAGGCCCUUGACUUUGAAGGCGUUGACAGGCCUUUGAAUAUAAAAGCUCGAGUUAAAUGGCCUUGUUACACAUCAUGGAUGAAGAUCUAGCCGAUAGAAGGUUUGGACACCGCUAUGGUAGAAGAGGUGACUCCGAGCGGGAACUCGAGUUGGAGCCAAUGACUUAACUGAGUGAUAGCGAUAUAGAAGUCUCUGAUGCUUGUCCAAGUUUUUCAAAAGAUAAUGACGAGUUACUAUGUUGUGAGCUAUGGAUUUUAUCAUCGCCGAUAAGUCCAAGUGAGAAUUCAUGGGGAGAUAGCUGACUAGUUCCUGGGAUCAACCGCUUGUUGUUGGUGGCCUUGGGUGCAGUGGAAAAUUUGGAAAUGAGCGUAAUGUAUUUAUAGGACUUUAUGCACAAAUGGUU
Long non-coding RNA from Adelges cooleyi (spruce gall adelgid), 661 nucleotides. RefSeq lists it as uncharacterized. The record is from RefSeq and is a predicted model, not a curated record. The transcript is spliced from 5 exons. Lineage: Eukaryota; Metazoa; Arthropoda; Insecta; Hemiptera; Adelgidae.